RNAcentral lists this ribosomal RNA (477 nucleotides) under uncultured bacterium. RNAcentral's name for it is "partial 16S ribosomal RNA". It matches the Rfam family "Bacterial small subunit ribosomal RNA", at positions 28 to 507 of the family's 1533-position model. The record is from RNAcentral.
GAUGAACGCUGGCGGCGUGCCUAAUACAUGCAAGUCGAGCGAACAGACGAGGCGCUUGCUCCUCUGACGUUAGCGGCGGACGGGUGAGUCACACGUGGAUAACCUACCUAUAAGACUGGGAUAACUUCGGGACACCGGAGCUUAUACCGGAUAAUAUAUUGAACCGCAUUGUUCAAUAGUGAAAUACGGUUUUGCUGUCAGUUGUGGAUGGAUCCGCGCCUCAUUAGCUAGUUGGUAAGGUACCGGCUUACCAAGGCAACGAUGCGUAGCCGACAUGAGAGGGUGACACGCGACAUGGGGACUGAGAGACGGCCCAGACGGGAAUGGGCGGCAGUGGGGGAGAAUAUUGCAGAAUGGGCGGAAGCGUGAUAUAGAAACGUCGCGUGCGGGAAGCUGGGUUUCGGGGGGUAAACAGCUGUCGACGGAGACGAAGAGGUAGUGACGGUAACUGGUAAAGAAGCACCGGCUAACUACGUG